RNAcentral lists this ribosomal RNA (813 nucleotides) under Acinetobacter baumannii. RNAcentral describes it as "bacterial LSU rRNA". It matches the Rfam family "Bacterial large subunit ribosomal RNA", at positions 2136 to 2925 of the family's 2925-position model. Lineage: Bacteria; Pseudomonadati; Pseudomonadota; Gammaproteobacteria; Moraxellales; Moraxellaceae. The record is from RNAcentral.
GUGUAGGAUAGGUGGGAGGCUUUGAAGCUGGAACGCUAGUUCCAGUGGAGCCGUCCUUGAAAUACCACCCUGGUAAUGUUGAGGUUCUAACUCUGUCCCGUGAUCCGGGACGAGGACCGUGUCUGGUGGGUAGUUUGACUGGGGCGGUCUCCUCCUAAAGAGUAACGGAGGAGUACGAAGGUGCGCUCAGCGUGGUCGGAAAUCACGCGUAGAGUAUAAAGGCAAAAGCGCGCUUAACUGCGAGACCCACAAGUCGAGCAGGUACGAAAGUAGGUCUUAGUGAUCCGGUGGUUCUGUAUGGAAGGGCCAUCGCUCAACGGAUAAAAGGUACUCUGGGGAUAACAGGCUGAUACCGCCCAAGAGUUCAUAUCGACGGCGGUGUUUGGCACCUCGAUGUCGGCUCAUCUCAUCCUGGGGCUGAAGCAGGUCCCAAGGGUAUGGCUGUUCGCCAUUUAAAGAGGUACGCGAGCUGGGUUUAGAACGUCGUGAGACAGUUCGGUCCCUAUCUACCGUGGGCGCUGGAAAUUUGAGAGGAUCUGCUCCUAGUACGAGAGGACCAGAGUGGACGAACCUCUGGUGUACCGGUUGUGACGCCAGUCGCAUCGCCGGGUAGCUAUGUUCGGAAGGGAUAACCGCUGAAAGCAUCUAAGCGGGAAGCCUACCUCAAGAUAAGAUUUCCCUAGGACUUUAUGUCCUCUAAAGAGCCGUUCGAGACUAGGACGUUGAUAGGUUGGAUGUGGAAGCAUAGUGAUAUGUGAAGCUGACCAAUACUAAUUGCUCGUGAGGCUUGACUAUACAACACCCAAGCAGUUG